GUUUCAAUUCCUCAUAGGCAGGCUAUCGGCCCGCUCUGACGAACCGGGCCUCUUCGAUUCGCCCUAG
RNAcentral lists this small RNA (67 nucleotides) under Acididesulfobacillus acetoxydans. Its description in RNAcentral is "Peptococcaceae bacterium INE non-coding RNA". Lineage: Bacteria; Bacillati; Bacillota; Clostridia; Eubacteriales; Peptococcaceae. The record is from RNAcentral.